ACGGAAGGCAGCAGUGGGGAAUAUUGCACAAUGGGGGAAACCCUGAUGCAGCGACGCCGCGUGAGUGAAGAAGUAUUUCGGUAUGUAAAGCUCUAUCAGCAGGGAAGAAAAUGACGGUACCUGACUAAGAAGCCCCGGCUAACUACGUGCCAGCAGCCGCGGUAAUACGUAGGGGGCAAGCGUUAUCCGGAUUUACUGGGUGUAAAGGGAGCGUAGACGGCGAUGCAAGUCAGAAGUGAAAUCCCGGGGCUUAACCUCGGUGCUGCUUUUGAAACUGUACGGCUAGAGUGCUGGAGGGGCAAGCGGAAUUCCUGGUGUAGCGGUGAAAUGCGUAGAUAUCAGGAGGAACACCGGUGGCGAAGGCGGCUUGCUGGACAGUAACUGACGUUGAGGCACGAAAGCGUGGGGAGCAAACAGGAUUAGAUACCCUGGUA
Molecule: ribosomal RNA, 434 nt
Filed under: uncultured Lachnospiraceae bacterium
Lineage: Bacteria; Bacillati; Bacillota; Clostridia; Lachnospirales; Lachnospiraceae
Description: partial 16S ribosomal RNA
Rfam family: Bacterial small subunit ribosomal RNA
Source: RNAcentral